UACGUAGGUGGCAAGCGUUAUCCGGAUUUAUUGGGUGUAAAGGGCGUGUAGGCGGGAGCGCAAGUUAGAUGUGAAAACUCAGGGCUCAACCCUGAGCCUGCAUUUGAAACUGUGUUUCUUGAGUGCUGGAGAGGCAAUCGGAAUUCCGUGUGUAGCGGUGAAAUGCGUAGAUAUACGGAGGAACACCAGUGGCGAAGGCGGAUUGCUGGGCAGUAACUGACGCUGAGGCGCGAAAGCGUGGGGAGCAAACAGG
Molecule: ribosomal RNA, 253 nt
Filed under: uncultured bacterium
Lineage: Bacteria
Description: partial 16S ribosomal RNA
Rfam family: Bacterial small subunit ribosomal RNA
Source: RNAcentral